This 337-nucleotide unclassified non-coding RNA is filed under the name soil metagenome. RNAcentral describes it as "partial contains 5.8S ribosomal RNA, internal transcribed spacer 2, and large subunit ribosomal RNA". The stretch from base 1 to 120 matches the Rfam family "5.8S ribosomal RNA", at positions 35 to 154 of the family's 154-position model. The record is from RNAcentral.
GAUGAAGAACGCAGUGAAAUGCGAUAAUUAAUGUGAAUUGCAGAAUUUAGUGAAUCAUCGAAUCUUUGAACGCACAUUGCGCCCCUUGGUAUUCCAUGGGGCAUGCCUGUUCGAGCGUCAUUUGUACCUUCAAGCUCUGCUUGGUGUUGGGUGUUUGUCUCGCCUCUGCGUGUAGACUCGCCUCAAAACAAUUGGCAGCCGGCGUAUUGAUUUCGGAGCGCAGUACAUCUCGCGCUUUGCACUCAUAACGACGACGUCCAAAAGUACAUUUUUACACUCUUGACCUCGGAUCAGGUAGGGAUACCCGCUGAACUUAAGCAUAUCAAUAAGCGGAGGA